Molecule: ribosomal RNA, 2923 nt
Filed under: Klebsiella pneumoniae
Lineage: Bacteria; Pseudomonadati; Pseudomonadota; Gammaproteobacteria; Enterobacterales; Enterobacteriaceae
Description: bacterial LSU rRNA
Rfam family: Bacterial large subunit ribosomal RNA
Source: RNAcentral
GGGUUGUGAGGUUAAGCGACUAAGCGUACACGGUGGAUGCCCUGGCAGUCAGAGGCGAUGAAGGACGUGCUAAUCUGCGAAAAGCGUCGGUAAGGUGAUAUGAACCGUUAUAGCCGGCGAUGUCCGAAUGGGGAAACCCAGUGUGAUUCGUCACACUAUCGUUAACUGAAUACAUAGGUUAACGAGGCGAACCGGGGGAACUGAAACAUCUAAGUACCCCGAGGAAAAGAAAUCAACCGAGAUUCCCCCAGUAGCGGCGAGCGAACGGGGAGCAGCCCAGAGUCUGAAUCAGCUUGUGUGUUAGUGGAACGGUCUGGAAAGUCCGACGGUACAGGGUGAUAGUCCCGUACACCAAAAUGCACAGGCUGUGAACUCGAAGAGUAGGGCGGGACACGUGGUAUCCUGUCUGAAUAUGGGGGGACCAUCCUCCAAGGCUAAAUACUCCUGACUGACCGAUAGUGAACCAGUACCGUGAGGGAAAGGCGAAAAGAACCCCGGCGAGGGGAGUGAAAAAGAACCUGAAACCGUGUACGUACAAGCAGUGGGAGCACCUUCGGGUGUGACUGCGUACCUUUUGUAUAAUGGGUCAGCGACUUAUAUUCUGUAGCAAGGUUAACCGUAUAGGGGAGCCGCAGGGAAACCGAGUCUUAACUGGGCGUUAAGUUGCAGGGUAUAGACCCGAAACCCGGUGAUCUAGCCAUGGGCAGGUUGAAGGUUGGGUAACACUAACUGGAGGACCGAACCGACUAAUGUUGAAAAAUUAGCGGAUGACUUGUGGCUGGGGGUGAAAGGCCAAUCAAACCGGGAGAUAGCUGGUUCUCCCCGAAAGCUAUUUAGGUAGCGCCUCGUGAAUUCAUCUUCGGGGGUAGAGCACUGUUUCGGCUAGGGGGUCAUCCCGACUUACCAACCCGAUGCAAACUACGAAUACCGAAGAAUGUUAUCACGGGAGACACACGGCGGGUGCUAACGUCCGUCGUGAAGAGGGAAACAACCCAGACCGCCAGCUAAGGUCCCAAAGUCAUGGUUAAGUGGGAAACGAUGUGGGAAGGCACAGACAGCCAGGAUGUUGGCUUAGAAGCAGCCAUCAUUUAAAGAAAGCGUAAUAGCUCACUGGUCGAGUCGGCCUGCGCGGAAGAUGUAACGGGGCUAAACCAUGCACCGAAGCUGCGGCAGCGACACUAUGUGUUGUUGGGUAGGGGAGCGUUCUGUAAGCCUGCGAAGGUGUGCUGUGAGGCAUGCUGGAGGUAUCAGAAGUGCGAAUGCUGACAUAAGUAACGAUAAAGCGGGUGAAAAGCCCGCUCGCCGGAAGACCAAGGGUUCCUGUCCAACGUUAAUCGGGGCAGGGUGAGUCGACCCCUAAGGCGAGGCCGAAAGGCGUAGUCGAUGGGAAACAGGUUAAUAUUCCUGUACUUGGUGUUACUGCGAAGGGGGGACGGAGAAGGCUAUGUUAGCCGGGCGACGGUUGUCCCGGUUUAAGCAUGUAGGCUGAUUAUCCAGGCAAAUCCGGAUAAUCAAGGCUGAGGUGUGAUGACGAGGCACCACGGUGCUGAAGUAACAAAUGCCCUGCUUCCAGGAAAAGCCUCUAAGCAUCAGGUAACAUCAAAUCGUACCCCAAACCGACACAGGUGGUCAGGUAGAGAAUACCAAGGCGCUUGAGAGAACUCGGGUGAAGGAACUAGGCAAAAUGGUGCCGUAACUUCGGGAGAAGGCACGCUGGUGUGUAGGUGAAGUCCCUGCGGAUGGAGCUGAGACCAGUCGAAGAUACCAGCUGGCUGCAACUGUUUAUUAAAAACACAGCACUGUGCAAACACGAAAGUGGACGUAUACGGUGUGACGCCUGCCCGGUGCCGGAAGGUUAAUUGAUGGGGUUAUCCGUAAGGAGAAGCUCUUGAUCGAAGCCCCGGUAAACGGCGGCCGUAACUAUAACGGUCCUAAGGUAGCGAAAUUCCUUGUCGGGUAAGUUCCGACCUGCACGAAUGGCGUAAUGAUGGCCAGGCUGUCUCCACCCGAGACUCAGUGAAAUUGAACUCGCUGUGAAGAUGCAGUGUACCCGCGGCAAGACGGAAAGACCCCGUGAACCUUUACUAUAGCUUGACACUGAACAUUGAGCCUUGAUGUGUAGGAUAGGUGGGAGGCUUUGAAGCGUGGACGCCAGUCUGCGUGGAGCCAACCUUGAAAUACCACCCUUUAAUGUUUGAUGUUCUAACGUUGGCCCCUUACCGGGGUUGCGGACAGUGUCUGGUGGGUAGUUUGACUGGGGCGGUCUCCUCCCAAAGCGUAACGGAGGAGCACGAAGGUUAGCUAAUCCUGGUCGGACAUCAGGAGGUUAGUGCAAUGGCAUAAGCUAGCUUGACUGCGAGCGUGACGGCGCGAGCAGGUGCGAAAGCAGGUCAUAGUGAUCCGGUGGUUCUGAAUGGAAGGGCCAUCGCUCAACGGAUAAAAGGUACUCCGGGGAUAACAGGCUGAUACCGCCCAAGAGUUCAUAUCGACGGCGGUGUUUGGCACCUCGAUGUCGGCUCAUCACAUCCUGGGGCUGAAGUAGGUCCCAAGGGUAUGGCUGUUCGCCAUUUAAAGUGGUACGCGAGCUGGGUUUAGAACGUCGUGAGACAGUUCGGUCCCUAUCUGCCGUGGGCGCUGGAGAAUUGAGGGGGGCUGCUCCUAGUACGAGAGGACCGGAGUGGACGCAUCACUGGUGUUCGGGUUGUCAUGCCAAUGGCACUGCCCGGUAGCUAAAUGCGGAAGAGAUAAGUGCUGAAAGCAUCUAAGCACGAAACUUGCCCCGAGAUGAGUUCUCCCUGAGACUUUAAGUCUCCUGAAGGAACGUUGAAGACGACGACGUUGAUAGGCCGGGUGUGUAAGCGCAGCGAUGCGUUGAGCUAACCGGUACUAAUGAACCGUGAGGCUUAACCUUACAACGCCGAAG